This 263-nucleotide unclassified non-coding RNA is filed under the name uncultured Xylariales. Its description in RNAcentral is "sequence contains ITS2". The record is from RNAcentral. Lineage: Eukaryota; Fungi; Ascomycota; Sordariomycetes; Xylariales.
AACGCACAUUGCGCCCAUUAGUAUUCUAGUGGGCAUGCCUGUUCGAGCGUCAUUUCAACCCUUAAGCCUAGCUUAGCGUUGGGAGACUGCGCUAAACCGCAGCUCCUCAAAACCAGUGGCGGAGUCCUCUCGUACUCUGAGCGUAGUAAUUCUUUAUCUCGCUUCUGCAAGUACGGUUGACGACAGCCAUAAACCGCACCCUCUCGGGGGGGCACUUUUUAAUGGUUGACCUCGGAUCAGGUAGGAAUACCCGCUGAACUUAA